This 313-nucleotide ribosomal RNA is filed under the name Salmonella enterica subsp. indica. Its description in RNAcentral is "bacterial SSU rRNA". It matches the Rfam family "Bacterial small subunit ribosomal RNA", at positions 1153 to 1465 of the family's 1533-position model. Lineage: Bacteria; Pseudomonadati; Pseudomonadota; Gammaproteobacteria; Enterobacterales; Enterobacteriaceae. The record is from RNAcentral.
CAGUGAUAAACUGGAGGAAGGUGGGGAUGACGUCAAGUCAUCAUGGCCCUUACGACCAGGGCUACACACGUGCUACAAUGGCGCAUACAAAGAGAAGCGACCUCGCGAGAGCAAGCGGACCUCAUAAAGUGCGUCGUAGUCCGGAUUGGAGUCUGCAACUCGACUCCAUGAAGUCGGAAUCGCUAGUAAUCGUGGAUCAGAAUGCCACGGUGAAUACGUUCCCGGGCCUUGUACACACCGCCCGUCACACCAUGGGAGUGGGUUGCAAAAGAAGUAGGUAGCUUAACCUCCGGGAGGGCGCUUACCACUUUGU